This 578-nucleotide ribosomal RNA is filed under the name Ptereleotris evides (blackfin dartfish). Its description in RNAcentral is "partial 16S ribosomal RNA". It matches the Rfam family "Bacterial large subunit ribosomal RNA", at positions 1812 to 2603 of the family's 2925-position model. Lineage: Eukaryota; Metazoa; Chordata; Actinopteri; Gobiiformes; Gobiidae. The record is from RNAcentral.
AACAUCGCCUCUUGCCCCCACAACAUAAGAGGUCCCGCCUGCCCUGUGACGAAAGUUUAACGGCCGCGGUAUUUUGACCGUGCGAAGGUAGCGUAAUCACUUGUCUUUUAAAUAGAGACCUGUAUGAAUGGCAUAACGAGGGCUAAGCUGUCUCCUCUCCUCAGUCAAUGAAAUUGAUCUGCCCGUGCAGAAGCGGGCAUGCUCACAUAAGACGAGAAGACCCUAUGGAGCUUAAGACACCAGGACGGCCCGCGUUAAAGCCCUUGGCUUAUCAAGACUAAACCAAGCGGCCCCCGUCCCCCUGUCUUUGGUUGGGGCGACCGCGGGGUAAUAACCAACCCCCACGUGGAAUGGGUAACACCCUGACCUCAGAGCCACACCUCCAGCUAGCAGAACUUCUGACCAUAAGAUCCGGCAGUGCCGAUCAACGGACCCAGUUACCCUAGGGAUAACAGCGCAAUCCCCUUCUAGAGCCCAUAUCGACAAGGGGGUUUACGACCUCGAUGUUGGAUCAGGACUUCCUAAUGGUGCAGCCGCUAUUAAGGGUUCGUUUGUUCAACGAUUAAAGUCCUACGUGA